This 253-nucleotide ribosomal RNA is filed under the name uncultured organism. RNAcentral's name for it is "partial 16S ribosomal RNA". It matches the Rfam family "Bacterial small subunit ribosomal RNA", at positions 524 to 776 of the family's 1533-position model. The record is from RNAcentral.
UACGUAGGGGGCGAGCGUUGUCCGGAGUUAUUGGGCGUAAAGGGCGCGUAGGCGGCCUGGUAAGUCUGAGGUGAAACGCCGCAGCUCAACUGCGGACUUGCCUUGGAAACUGUCGGGCUUGAGGUGAUCAGAGGAGUGCGGAAUUCCCGGUGUAGCGGUGAAAUGCGUAGAGAUCGGGAGGAACACCAGUGGCGAAGGCGGCACUCUGGGAUCAAUCUGACGCUGAGGCGCGAAAGCUAGGGGAGCAAACGGG